Molecule: long non-coding RNA, 1395 nt
Organism: Camelina sativa (false flax)
Lineage: Eukaryota; Viridiplantae; Streptophyta; Magnoliopsida; Brassicales; Brassicaceae
Source: RefSeq, a predicted model, not a curated record
UCCUCCACAACUCACAACGGUUAGCUCCUCCUAUCAUUUUCAAGAUCGUCGAUAGGGAGCUUCGCAAUAUCAUCACCUCUAGAAGGCCUAACUAGGAAGCAUUGGCGAAAGCUAAUGAUUCUUUGGAUCUGUUAAUUCUCUCAAAUCUUUCUUAUUGUAACCUUGUUUUUACUUUCUUUUGCCAAGGCUACUCUUGUCACUACAAAAAAGACGCUGGAUAACGUCGGUAUAUUAACGUCAGUUGAUAAACCGACUUAAAAUUUUCGAUUAGGAAGGAAUUUUGCGUCACUUAAGAAACCGACAUUUUGUUUUGUGUCAUUUAUCUAAAAGAUUAAAAAAAAUGAUUUCUUCCAUUAACAUAAUUUUAAUUUUAUGAGCUUUCGAUUGUUUCUCAUCUCUUCCAUUUACGAGUUCUUCGUCUAUGCUUCUCCUCGCUAUGGUAUAUGGAGCUCUGAUUUCAAUCAAUUUGGAUUCAAGCUCAGAGGCGGAGAAGUAGAUCUAAAAUUGAUGCUCUCUGUGACGGAUCAAGCAUCCUCUCAUCUCGAAUCCGCCAACUCAGAGGAACUGGCGAGAGAUUAAGUCACAGAUUGACCUGAUUCUAAGAGAAGCUUGGUUGCUCAAUUUUCACUGUCAAUAUCGAUUUAGAAAAAGGAGUUGAUUUAAGCCAAGACUGCCUCAAGUUUUUGUUUUCCACGACUUCAAUAAGUUGAGACUUGAGGAUCUUCAAGGAGCAUCGUGGACUUGUUCCAAUGUUUUAAUUUGGUUGAUUUACCCUCUAGUUUUGGCAAUGAUGUUUUUGGUUGCUCAUCAAGAAGAGCAACUACGUAUAUGUUUUGUUUUACAUGUCACAGGGGCAGAUGAGUUAUAGCAUAAGCUACAAUAGGUGUGAAUAACAAGAGAUUGUAGCUUUUUCUUUAAUCAAGAUACUAGUAUAUGGUUUUGAGAUUGUUUACAAAGUGUGAGAAGAGAUUGCAGAAUGUUAACUUAGGGCCUUAGACUGUUGGAGAAUAAGUCAAUUUUUAGUUUGGAAAAAGGUGUGGACGAUUGAUCAGGAUUGGCAACUGAUGCAAGAGGUAGAGAUGUUACAGUUGGAUUAGUACUACUUCCGGUUUCUUUUCCAAAAUAUGGUUGAUCCUGAAGAGCUGAAUUUGGAAUUAUCUUGUGCAAGAGCAGGAAGGGAGAUAUAGAGGUUAACAACAUGUUUCAUCCAGCAGCAUUUGACACUCUUCAUCUAUUGUAUCAAACGACCAUGCCAGAACAAAAGCAAAUAACCGAAGAGGAGAAUAGCGAGAUACAUGGAUAAUAAGAUGGCAUAUGUGUGUAACUGUUAAAGUGACAUUUAUAUUUUAUGUAAAACAGAUUUAUUUAAUUAAGGGAGCUUUUAUUUGAGUUCUU